RNAcentral lists this ribosomal RNA (216 nucleotides) under Glomus sp. RNAcentral describes it as "partial small subunit ribosomal RNA". The stretch from base 47 to 216 matches the Rfam family "Eukaryotic small subunit ribosomal RNA", at positions 693 to 864 of the family's 1831-position model. The record is from RNAcentral. RNAcentral also lists the same sequence under 1 other name. Lineage: Eukaryota; Fungi; Glomeromycota; Glomeromycetes; Glomerales; Glomeraceae.
GGAUCAAUUGAUUGGUCAUGCCGUUGGUAUGUACUGGUCAUAUUGGUUCUCACCUUCUAAGGAACCAUAAUGUCAUUAAUUUGAUGUUUUGGGGAAUUAGGACUGUUACCUUGAAAAAAUUAGAGUGUUUAAAGCAGGCUAACGCUUGAAUACAUUAGCAUGGAAUAAUGAAAUAGGACAUCGCAUUCUAUUUUGUUGGUUUCUAGGAUCGAUGUA